GUGCUCACUUCUGCAGCACAUAUAUUAAAAUUGGAAUGAUAAAGAGAAGAUUAGCAUAGCCCUAUGCAAGGAUGGCAUGCAAAUUAAUGAAGCAUUCCAUAUUUUC
Molecule: small nuclear RNA, 106 nt
Organism: Cricetulus griseus (Chinese hamster)
Lineage: Eukaryota; Metazoa; Chordata; Mammalia; Rodentia; Cricetidae
Source: Ensembl